This 23-nucleotide microRNA is filed under the name Ornithorhynchus anatinus (platypus). RNAcentral's name for it is "oan-miR-1422b-2-5p". Lineage: Eukaryota; Metazoa; Chordata; Mammalia; Monotremata; Ornithorhynchidae. The record is from miRBase by way of RNAcentral.
CAAUCCAUACCAAGAUUUUCUAU